Molecule: ribosomal RNA, 495 nt
Filed under: uncultured bacterium
Lineage: Bacteria
Description: partial 16S ribosomal RNA
Rfam family: Bacterial small subunit ribosomal RNA
Source: RNAcentral
GACGAACGCUGGCGGCGUGCCUAAUACAUGCAAGUCGAACGCUGAAGGAGGAGCUUGCUUCUCUGGAUGAGUUGCGAACGGGUGAGUAACGCGUAGGUAACCUGCCUGGUAGCGGGGGAUAACUAUUGGAAACGAUAGCUAAUACCGCAUAAUAGUAGAUGUUGCAUGACAUUUGCUUAAAAGGUGCAAUUGCAUCACUACCAGAUGGACCUGCGUUGUAUUAGCUAGUUGGUGGGGUAACGGCUCACCAAGGCGACGAUACAUAGCCGACCUGAGAGGGUGAUCGGCCGCACUGGGACUGAGACACGGCCCAGACUCCUACGGGAGGCAGCAGUAGGGAAUCUUCGGCAAUGGACGGAAGUCUGACCGAGCAACGCCGCGUGAGUGAAGAAGGUUUUCGGAUCGUAAAGCUCUGUUGUAAGAGAAGAACGAGUGUGAGAGUGGAAAGUUCACACUGUGACGGUAUCUUACCAGAAAGGGACGGCUAACUACGUG